RNAcentral lists this ribosomal RNA (383 nucleotides) under uncultured eukaryote. RNAcentral's name for it is "partial 18S ribosomal RNA". It matches the Rfam family "Eukaryotic small subunit ribosomal RNA", at positions 592 to 976 of the family's 1831-position model. The record is from RNAcentral.
CAAUAGCGUAUAUUAAAGUUGUUGCAGUUAAAAAGCUCGUAGUUGGAUUUCUGGUGGGAGCGAUCGGUCUGGCGCUUAGCGCGAGUACUUGCAUCGUCUCCGGCCAUCCUUGGGGAGAGUCUGUCUGGCAUUAGGUUGUCGGGCAGAGGAUCCUCAUCGUUUACUGUGAAAGAAUUAGAGUGUUCAAAGCAGGCUUAUGCCGUUGAAUAUAUUAGCAUGGAAUAAUAAGAUAGGACUUUGGUACUAUUUUGUUGGUUUGCGCACCAAAGUAAUGAUUAAUAGGGACAGUUGGGGGUAUUCGUAUUCCGUUGUCAGAGGUGAAAUUCUUGGAUUUACGGAAGACGAACUACUGCGAAAGCAUUUACCAAGGAUGUUUUCAUUAA